This 253-nucleotide ribosomal RNA is filed under the name uncultured bacterium. RNAcentral describes it as "partial 16S ribosomal RNA". It matches the Rfam family "Bacterial small subunit ribosomal RNA", at positions 524 to 776 of the family's 1533-position model. The record is from RNAcentral.
UACGGGGGGGGCAAGCGUUGUUCGGAAUUACUGGGCGUAAAGGGCGCGUAGGCGGUUGGAUAAGUCAGCUGUGAAAACCACGGGCUUAACUCGUGGCCUGCAGUUGAGACUGUCUGGCUUGAGUGUGGGAGAGGAGAGUGGAAUUCCCGGUGUAGCGGUGAAAUGCGCAGAUAUCGGGAAGAACACCCGUGGCGAAGGCGGUUCUCUGGGACGGUACUGACGCUGAGACGCGAAAGCGUGGGGAGCGAACAGG